UACGAAGGGGGCUAGCGUUGCUCGGAAUCACUGGGCGUAAAGCGCACGUAGGCGGAUUGCUAAGUCAGGGGUGAAAUCCUGGAGCUCAACUCCAGAACUGCCCUUGAUACUGGCGGUCUCGAGUCCGGGAGAGGUGAGUGGAACUGCGAGUGUAGAGGUGAAAUUCGUAGAUAUUCGCAAGAACACCAGUGGCGAAGGCGGCUCACUGGCCCGGUACUGACGCUGAGGUGCGAAAGCGUGGGGAGCAAACA
Molecule: ribosomal RNA, 251 nt
Filed under: uncultured bacterium
Lineage: Bacteria
Description: partial 16S ribosomal RNA
Rfam family: Bacterial small subunit ribosomal RNA
Source: RNAcentral